UAUCUCUGUAGAGUCUGCAUAUCAAUAAGCGGAGGAAAAGAAACUAACUAGGAUUCCCUCAGUAACGGCGAGUGAAGCGGGAAGAGCUCAAAUUUGAAAUCUUCAAGGUUCUACCUUGACGAAUUGUAGUUUAAAGAAGUGUUUUCUGUUGGAGUUUUGGUAAAAGUUCUUUGGAAUAGGACAUCAUAGAGGGUGAGAAUCCCGUAUUUGACCAUUAUUUCCAGCUUUGUGAUACACUUUCAAAGAGUCGGAUUGUUUGGGAAUGCAGUCCAAAAUGGGUGGUAAAUUUCAUCUAAAGCUAAAUACUGGCGAGAGACCGAUAGCGAACAAGUACCGUGAGGGAAAGAUGAAAAGAACUUUGAAAAGAGAGUUAAACAGUACGUGAAAUUGUCAAAAGGGAAGCGUUUGACACCAGUGUUGUUUUCUCGAAAAUCAAUUAAAAAGGGCAGGAUUUUGUGUUGUAUUGACUUUAUCAGCUUUCUGCACUCUUCUCUUGUCUUUUUUAAUGCGCUUUUCGUUUAACAAGUCAACAUCAAUUUCUUUUGUUGUAAAAGGGUCAUUGGAAGGUGGCUUUCUUUUCGGAGAAAGUGUUUAUAGCCUUUGGCCUCUGCAAUCGGAGAGAUUGAGGUCUGCAGCGUAGAUCCUUCGGGGUUAGAUACAUUUGUGCUAAGUUAUAGGCCUUUCAUAGACAACUUGUUGACUAUGAUCAGUCAUGUAGCUUACUCGCUUAUGCCUAUUUUACCUACGCUUAGGAUGUUGACGAUCAGCUGAGCGCG
This 776-nucleotide ribosomal RNA is filed under the name uncultured Neocallimastigales. RNAcentral describes it as "partial large subunit ribosomal RNA". It matches the Rfam family "Eukaryotic large subunit ribosomal RNA", at positions 24 to 627 of the family's 3401-position model. Lineage: Eukaryota; Fungi; Neocallimastigomycota; Neocallimastigomycetes; Neocallimastigales. The record is from RNAcentral.